UCUCUCCAGAUUCCUAACCCAGCAGAUCUAAAGAUAGGUCUCAGUGGCUAUAAAAGGUGGGAAACUAAAACUGAAAUGGACUUGAAUUCUUUUGUGACACACAAAUUGUUUUCAAACAAAA
Molecule: small nucleolar RNA, 121 nt
Filed under: Echinops telfairi (small Madagascar hedgehog)
Lineage: Eukaryota; Metazoa; Chordata; Mammalia; Afrosoricida; Tenrecidae
Description: Small nucleolar RNA SNORA61 (ENSETEG00000026529.1)
Source: RNAcentral